UCACAUGUUUUAUUGCUACGUUAGGUAUAGUAAUGGAGCGUCUAUAUUUACAAUGUCCGGUAUAUCUGCCAGGAAAUUCCAAACAAAGAUAGAAGCUGGCCAGGUUUCCUUGGAUCUGAAGAUGGAAGGGGAUCAGAUUGGGACAGCGAGCUCUCGAAUUAUGAAAGAAAAACAGUGAGGAGAAAUGACAGAGAUAAUAUGAUAAAUUAAUCUACUCAACUUCAUCUUCCGCCUAACCCAUUUUAUCAUUUGAUAUAAACUAAUUACCUUACUAUGUAUCUAUUUUGCAGUGCAAUAUAAUGUCUUCAAAAUACUGAUCAAGGAUCUCAAUGUCCAAGAGGCGGUCAUCAUUGUAAGUUUAUUAGUAAAUUCAUAUUAUGUGAAGCUUUUCGUGUUGAAUUAAGUUGUUAUAUUGUCCAUAAAUAUUGGAUUAUGACUCUCUUUUCUUUGUCUAUAAAUGUUGAAUUGGAAUC
This is a long non-coding RNA of Asparagus officinalis (garden asparagus), 473 nucleotides long. RefSeq lists it as uncharacterized. The transcript has 2 exons. The record is from RefSeq and is a predicted model, not a curated record. NCBI's taxonomy places the organism in Eukaryota, Viridiplantae, Streptophyta, Magnoliopsida, Asparagales, Asparagaceae.